Molecule: ribosomal RNA, 400 nt
Filed under: uncultured cyanobacterium
Lineage: Bacteria; Bacillati; Cyanobacteriota
Description: bacterial SSU rRNA
Rfam family: Bacterial small subunit ribosomal RNA
Source: RNAcentral
AUGAACGCUGGCGGUAUGCUUAACACAUGCAAGUCGUACGAAGAUUUUUGAUCUUAGUGGCGGACGGGUGAGUAACACGUGAGAAUCUGCCCUUAGGAAGAGGAUAACAGCUGGAAACGGUUGCUAAUACUCUAUACGCCGAGAGGUAAAAGGAUGUAUCCACCUUAGGAAGAGCUCGCGUCUGAUUAGCUUGUUGGUAAGGUAAUGGCUUACCAAGGCGACGAUCAGUAGCUGGUUUGAGAGGACGACCAGCCACACUGGGACUGAGACACGGCCCAGACUCCUACGGGAGGCAGCAGUGGGGAAUUUUCCGCAAUGGGCGAAAGCCUGACGGAGCAAUACCGCGUGAGGGAUGAAAGCCUGUGGGUUGUAAACCUCUUUUCUCAAGGAAGAAGUUCUG